UCAUUGGAGAGUUUGAUCCUGGCUCAGGACGAACGCUGGCGGCGUGCUUAACACAUGCAAGUCGAACGGAAAGGCCCCUUUGGGGGUACUCGAGUGGCGAACGGGUGAGUAACACGUGAGUAACCUGCCCUUGACUUCGGGAUAACUUCAGGAAACUGGGGCUAAUACCGGAUAGGAAUCCUUGCUGCAUGGUGGGGGUUGGAAAGCUUCGGCGGUUUUGGAUGGACUCGCGGCUUAUCAGCUUGUUGGUGGGGUAGUGGCUUACCAAGGCUUUGACGGGUAGCCGGCCUGAGAGGGCGACCGGCCACAUUGGGACUGAGAUACGGCCCAGACUCCUACGGGAGGCAGCAGUGGGGAAUAUUGCACAAUGGGCAGAAGAAGCACCGGCUAACUACGUGCCAGCAGCCGCGGUGAUACGUAGGGUGCGAGCGUUGUCCGGAUUUAUUGGGCGUAAAGAGCUCGUAGGUGGUUGAUUGCGUCGGAAGUGAAAACUUGGGGCUUAACCCUGAGCGUGCUUUCGAUACGGGUUGACUUGAGGAAGGUAGGGGAGAAUGGAAUUCCUGGUGGAGCGGUGGAAUGCGCAGAUAUCAGGAGGAACACCAGUGGCGAAGGCGGUUCUCUGGACCUUUCCUGACGCUGAGGAGCGAAAGCGUGGGGAGCGAACAGGCUUAGAUACCCUGGUAGUCCACGCUGUAAACGGUGGGUACUAGGUGUGGGGUCCAUUCCACGGAUUCCGUGCCGUAGCUAACGCAUUAAGUACCCCGCCUGGGGAGUACGGCCGCAAGGCUAAAACUCAAAGGAAUUGACGGGGCCCCGCACAAGCGGCGGAGCAUGCGGAUUAAUUCGAUGCAACGCGAAGAACCUUACCUGGGUUUGACAUGGACUGGGAGUGCUCAGAGAUGGGUACGCCUCCUUGUGGGGCUGGUUCACAGGUGGUGCAUGGCUGUCGUCAGCUCGUGUCGUGAGAUGUUGGGUUAAGUCCCGCAACGAGCGCAACCCUCGUUCACUGUUGCCAGCACGUUAUGGUGGGGACUCAGUGGAGACCGCCGGGGUCAACUCGGAGGAAGGUGGGGAUGACGUCAAGUCAUCAUGCCCCUUAUGUCCAGGGCUUCACGCAUGCUACAAUGGCCGGUACAAAGAGUUGCGAGCCUGUGAGGGUGAGCGAAUCUCGGAAAGCCGGUCUCAGUUCGGAUUGGGGUCUGCAACUCGACCCUAUGAAGUCGGAGUCGCUAGUAAUCGCAGAUCAGCAACGCUGCGGUGAAUACGUUCCCGGGGCUUGUACACACCGCCCGUCAAGUCAUGAAAGUCGGUAACACCCGAAGCCGGUGGCCUAACCUGUGUGGGGGAGCCGUCGAAGGUGGGACUGGUAAUUAGGACUAAGUCGUAACAAGGUAGCCGUACCGGAAGGUGCGGCUGGAUCACCUCCUUU
RNAcentral lists this ribosomal RNA (1429 nucleotides) under Veillonella sp. Its description in RNAcentral is "bacterial SSU rRNA". It matches the Rfam family "Bacterial small subunit ribosomal RNA". The record is from RNAcentral. Lineage: Bacteria; Bacillati; Bacillota; Negativicutes; Veillonellales; Veillonellaceae.